UAGGGAAUCUUCCGCAAUGGGCGAAAGCUUGACGGAGCAACGCCGCGUGAGUGAUGAAGGUCUUCGGAUCGUAAAACUCUGUUAUUAGGGAAGAACAAAUGUGUAAGUAACUAUGCACGUCUUGACGGUACCUAAUCAGAAAGCCACGGCUAACUACGUGCCAGCAGCCGCGGUAAUACGUAGGUGGCAAGCGUUAUCCGGAGUUAUUGGGCGUAAAGCGCGCGUAGGCGGUUUUUUAAGUCUGAUGUGAAAGACCACGGCUCAACCGUGGAGGGUCAUUGGAAACUGGAAAACUUGAGUGCAGAAGAGGAAAGUGGAAUUCCAUGUGUAGCGGUGAAAUGCGCAGAGAUAUGGAGGAACACCAGUGGCGAAGGCGACUUUCUGGUCUGUAACUGACGCUGAUGUGCGAAAGCGUGGGGAUCAAACAGG
Molecule: ribosomal RNA, 429 nt
Filed under: Actinomycetes bacterium
Lineage: Bacteria; Bacillati; Actinomycetota; Actinomycetes
Description: Actinobacteria bacterium partial 16S ribosomal RNA
Rfam family: Bacterial small subunit ribosomal RNA
Source: RNAcentral